Molecule: ribosomal RNA, 495 nt
Filed under: uncultured bacterium
Lineage: Bacteria
Description: partial 16S ribosomal RNA
Rfam family: Bacterial small subunit ribosomal RNA
Source: RNAcentral
ACUCAAAGGAAUAGACGGGGGCCCGCACAAGCGGCGGAGCAUGUUGCUUAAUUCGAGGCGACGCGAAGAACCUUACCUGGGUUUGACAUAUGGGGAAAAGCCGUAGAGAUACGGUGUCCUUCGGGGCCCCAUACAGGUGGUGCAUGGCUGUCGUCAGCUCGUGUCGUGAGAUGUUCGGUUAAGUCCGGCAACGAGCGCAACCCCUGUCUCAUGUUGCCAGCAUUUAGUUGGGGACUCAUGAGAGACUGCCGGGGUCAACUCGGAGGAAGGUGGGGACGACGUCAAGUCAUCAUGCCCCUUACGUCCAGGGCUGCAAACAUGCUACAAUGGCCGGUACAAAGGGCUGCGAUCCCGCGAGGGGGAGCCAAUCCCAAAAAGCCGGUCUCAGUUCGGAUUGGAGUCUGCAACUCGACUCCAUGAAGUCGGAGUCGCUAGUAAUCGUGGAUCAGCAACGCCACGGUGAAUACGUUCCCGGGCCUUGUACACACCGCCCGU